AGGACGAACGCUGGCGGCGCGCCUAACACAUGCAAGUCGAGCGAGAACCAGGGCUUGCCCUGGGGACAGCGGCGAACGGGUGCGUAACACGUGAGCAACCUGCCCCAAAGACCGGGACAACCCGAGGAAACUCGGACUAAUACCGGAUGCCCUCACCGGGUCGCAUGGUCUGGUGAGGAAAUGGAUUCCGCUUUGGGAUGGGCUCGCGGUCUAUCAGCUUGUUGGUGGGGUAACGGCCUACCAAGGCGACGACGGAUAGCUGGUCUGAGAGGACGAUCAGCCACACUGGGACUGAGACACGGCCCAGACUCCUACGGGAGGCAGCAGUGGGGAAUCUUGCGCAAUGGGGGAAACCCUGACGCAGCGACGCCGCGUGCGGGAUGAAGGCCUUCGGGUUGUAACCGCUUUCAGCAGGGACGAAAUUGACGGUACCUGCAGAAGAAGGCCGGCCAACUACGCGCCAGCAGCCGC
This 471-nucleotide ribosomal RNA is filed under the name uncultured bacterium. Its description in RNAcentral is "SSU rRNA". It matches the Rfam family "Bacterial small subunit ribosomal RNA", at positions 26 to 518 of the family's 1533-position model. The record is from RNAcentral.